RNAcentral lists this long non-coding RNA (625 nucleotides) under Marmota monax (woodchuck). Lineage: Eukaryota; Metazoa; Chordata; Mammalia; Rodentia; Sciuridae. The record is from RNAcentral.
UCUUUGCAGGGCAGGGAUGUGGCUCCAUGGUGGGAUGCUUGCUAGGAAGCCUCAAGUCCCAGGUUCCGUCCCCAGCACUGGAAAAAAAAUCAUGGUUCCAUUAUCAUUCCUAAAAAUUACUGGUGACACAGUGUUAUCAAAGAGCCAAUUUGUUCAUACAAAUGUAUCCAUUUGUCUGAUUUUUAAAAAAUGUUUUACACAAUUUGUCUGCAUCAGGUUGCAGAGAGGUCAGCACACCUGAGGUUUCUCCUGUGUCUUUUAAGGCUCUCUUGGUCUGUCCCUCUCUCUUCCCCCCUUGCUGCUGUUGUGUUGAAGAAGUCAGGUGGUUUGUCCCAUAGUGUUUCCAGGGUUGAGCACCCGUGGGGUCCUUGAUGUCCUUCCCCCCCCUGGACCUCCUGUGAGUUGGUUGUUAGAUCUCAGGGCUCCAUGAGGUUCAGGCUUGGUGCUUGGCCCAGCAGGCACGUGCUUAGGGAGUUUGGAAGGGGAGGCCUGGCGUACCCCAGUUUGGGGUGGAAAGGUGGGCUGAGGCGUCCCCCUGUGACAGCCACUGUGGUUUAACCAUCCAGAAUCAGCUGGCACUGCUCUUUCCCCCAAGUGCUCUGGUGGGUACUACUUUAAAUACUCG